UGUCACAUCCCUCGGCCAUCAGAUGUCCC
Molecule: non-coding RNA, 29 nt
Filed under: Mus musculus (house mouse)
Lineage: Eukaryota; Metazoa; Chordata; Mammalia; Rodentia; Muridae
Source: RNAcentral